GCAAAAUGAUUUAUUUUGCAAAAGCUAGACUUCUUACAGGUCACUAACAUUUUGUACUGUGUCAGCUAGAGGUGAAGAUUGAAUCUGGCUGACUGGUGAAGCUGAAAUUUUUACCGUAGUUACCCUGCCAUUUUCAAAUGGCCGUGUUUCACAGAAUUUCCGAAAAUCCCCAACAAUGUAUAGACUUCUUUAUAAGUUUCUGGUUGAAAUUAACCUCUAACAAAUUUGCAAUAGCACAAAAAGGCAUUUUUCCUGUCUAUUCUUUGAAUUUAAUUUUCAACAUUCUUAUUAUUUGAGUGCUCUUUUAUGUGGGUCAACAUCUACUGUAUAUGACAUAGAAUUUGUGAAGCUCGGUAACUGUCAAGGCAACAGAGAAUUUUCUCCGUUUCAGCAGAGAAUUUGACAAAUGCAUCAGGGCAACACUGGCUGACAUAGCUAUCCAGCAUUUGCAGCAUACUUUGCAAAUCCCUUAUGAAAAUUUCUUGCAAUUUGCAAUGCCAGCAAAUGGAGCAAUCGCCCGCCCACUUCUCACCUGGACAACAUUUUUUAAAAAUUGUUGUAAAAACAAACAACUUGCGUCGACGUCCAAAUGGAAAUGCAAAUGCCAGGCAUUGGAGCUCUCCGUGCCGGCUCUAUCGCCAGGCAAACAACAAGAUGACUGCGAGCAAACUCAUUGAAUCGACUGAUUUGCUGCUGGCAAAUAUUUUUCAGAGUUAACAAACAGAAUUCCUGGCAUGGACAUAUUUUUUGACACUUCGGGCUACUGGCAACUGGACGUUUACAAUUUUUGCUUGGCGCCAUGGCAAUCAGAAUUUCAAACAGCUUUUUCAUUUAACGUUUAAGAUUUGAUAAUUUUGCUGGAACUACAUGAACCUGGUGCACGUUUAAGUUAGUUUGCUCAAUAUUUUGUCUCGUGACUGACUGACUAAUUGGUGAUCAACGCACAGCCCAAACCGUAAGAGCUAGGAAGCUGAAAUUUUCACUUUUAUGUGAUGUUGGUGCACGUUAAGACGGGGUUUCGGGAAAUUCGACCCGCAAGUGUGGAAAAAUAACUUUUUUGUUAACUUUCAAAGAUCAUUGUUCAAAUUCAUUAAGGGGUGUUUCACACUUUUUGGAAAAUCCAUCCCUCCUUGGUGCAAAUGGGGGUCGAAGAUUUGGUGGGUGACGUUUCGCGCUCAAAUUCAUUUCCAGAGAUCUAUAAGAAAAAUCAUUUGAGACGUGUUUCACACUUUUCGCAGAAUCCAAACUUUUUCUGGUGGAAUGCGACUCAAAUAUUUUUGUGCGAUGUUUUAAGUUGUGUCCGAUUUGCUUCAAACUUAUUUUUAAAGCUCUACAUAAGAAUAUAAUGAAUACGUGUUUCAGAGAUGUGGCGGAAAUCGUUUGUAUGAAACUUGUUUGUUUACGAUCCGAUCGGCCCCAAACUUAUUUUCAAAGAUCUUUGUUCAAAUUCAUUUGGGGGGUGUUUCACACUUUUCGAAAAAUCCGUUCCUCCUUGGUGGAAAUGGAGGUCAAAAAUUUGGUGGGUGACGUUUCGCGCUCAAAUUCGUUUCCAAAGAUCUAUAAGAAAAAUCAUUUGAGACGUGUUUCACACUUUUCGCAGAAUCCAAACUUUUUCGGGUGGAAUGACACUCAAAGAUUUUUUGUGCGAAGUUUUAAGUUGUGUCGGAUUUACUUCAAACUUAUUUUCAAAGCUCUACAUAAGAACUUAAUGAAUACGUAUUUCAGCGAUUUGGGAAAUUCCACCCGCAACAGUGGUAAAUUGGCGGAAACGGUUGUAUGAAAGUUUUUUGUUUACCAUCCGAUCGGCCCCAAACUAAUUUUCAAAGAUCUUUGUUCAAAUUCAUUUGAGGGGUGUUCCACACUUUUUGA
Molecule: long non-coding RNA, 1869 nt
Organism: Drosophila montana
Lineage: Eukaryota; Metazoa; Arthropoda; Insecta; Diptera; Drosophilidae
Exons: 3
Source: RefSeq, a predicted model, not a curated record